UGUGGGAGCGAGCUUGCUCGCGAUGGCGGUGGCACAUUCGAUAUUUGUGCAAGCUGAAACACCGCUAUCGCGAGCAAGCUCGCUCCCACA
Molecule: unclassified non-coding RNA, 90 nt
Filed under: Pseudomonas sp. NFACC36
Lineage: Bacteria; Pseudomonadati; Pseudomonadota; Gammaproteobacteria; Pseudomonadales; Pseudomonadaceae
Also listed under: 1 other name
Source: RNAcentral